Molecule: RNA transcript, 2814 nt
Organism: Ochotona princeps (American pika)
Lineage: Eukaryota; Metazoa; Chordata; Mammalia; Lagomorpha; Ochotonidae
Gene name: cold shock domain-containing protein E1-like
Exons: 2
Source: RefSeq, a predicted model, not a curated record
GCUGGAGAGGCGACACUGAGCUGUUGGGUAUGAAGUGUAACAACAGAACAGACUUUACCACCUGAAACUGCUGCUUCAAGUUCAGAUCAGGCAAGGAACAAACCUCAAAACAACCAACAAGACCAAAGAAGAGUACACUUAAGUUGAAGACACAACACUCGAUCUGAAACAAAAAGUUUGUGCCUACUCAACAGCUUUGAAAGAGCACUUCCUAACACUGCUAGUAGUCUUUGUUUUCUUCAGUGCUGUACUGUGAGAUUGCCCGGUGCAGCAGCAGUUGUUUUCUUUAUUAGCUUGGUAGAUCAUUUUCUCUCGCUCUUUAAUAUUAGCAACUUUCAUCCUUCGAAACGUGUGCUGAAAAAGAAGAAUGAGCAAAUACUACUGAAAGUGCAAUAUUUGAUUAUCAUUGCGAGAUGAGCUUUGAUCCAAACCUUCUCCACAACAAUGCACACAAUGGGUACCCCAAUGGUACUUCAGCAGUACUGCGUGAAACUGGGGUUAUUGAAAAAUUAUUAACCUCUUAUGGAUUUAUUCAGUGUUCAGAACAUCAAGCUAGACUAUUCUUCCACUGCUCACAAUAUAAUGGAAACCUGCAGGACUUAAAAGUAGGAGAUGAGGUUGAGUUUGAAGUAUCAUCUGACCGGUGGACUGGGAAACCCAUUGCUGUUAAACUGGUGAAGAUAAAAUCCGAAAUCCUUCCUGAAGAAUGUAUAAAGGGACAAGAAGUGUUUUAUCUGACUUACACCCCUGAAGAUGUUGAAGGAAAUGUUCAGCUGGAAACCAGAGAUAAAAUAACUUUGUAAUUGAUAACAAUAAACAUACUGGUGUUGUAAGUGCUCAUAACAUUAUGCUGUUGAAAAAGAAACAACCCUGUUGCCAGGGAGAAGUUUGUGCCAUGAAGGAGGCAUUUAGCUUUAUUGAAAGAGGUGAUACUGUAAAAGAAAUAUUCUUCCACUAUAGUGAAUUUAAAGGUGACAUAGAAACCUUACAGCCUGGGGAUGAUGUGGAGUUCACAAUCAAAGAUAGAAAUGGUAAAGAAGUUGCAACUGAUGUCAAACUAUUGCCUCAAGGAACAGUUAAUUUUGAAGAUAUCAGCAUUGAACAUUUUGAAGGAACUGUUACCGAAGUUAUUCCCAAAGUACCCAGUAAAAACCAGAAUGACCCUUUGCCAGGAUGCAUCAAAGUUGACUUUGUCAUUCCUAAAGAACUUCCCUUUGGAGACAAAGAUACAAAAUCCAAGGUGACCCUGCUAGAAGGCUACCAUGUUAGGUUUAAUAUUUCAACAGAUCGAAGAGGACAAAUUGGAAUGAGCAACUAACAUAGAAGUCCUUUCAAAUACGUUUCAAUUCACUAAUGAAGCCAGAGAAAUGGGUGUGAUUGCUGCCAUGAUAGAUGGUUUUCGUUUCAUUUAGUGCAUGGAUGGCGAUGCUCGUAUGUUCUUCCACUUCAGUGAAAUUCUCGAUGGGAACCAGCUCCAUAUUGCAGAUGAAGUAGAGUUUACAGUGGUUCCUGAUAUGCUCUCUGCCCAAAGAAAUCAUGCUAUUAGGAUUAAAAGGCUUCCCAAGGGCAUGGUUCAUUCCAUUCUCAUUCAGAUCAUUAUUUUCUGGGCACUGUAGAAAAAGAAGCCACUUUUUCAAAAUCUAAAACCACUAGCCCAAAUAAAGGCAAAGAGAAAGAGGCAGAGGAUGACAUUAUUGCUUAUGAUGAUUGUGGGGUGAAACUGACUAUGGCUUUUCAAGCUAAGGAUGUGGAAGGAUCUACUUCUCCUCAAAUAGGAGACAAGGUUGAAUUUAGUAUUAGUGACAAACAGAGACCUGGCCAGCAGAUUGCAACUUGUCUGCCACUUUUAGGUCAUAAUUCCAAUUCCAAGAAGUUCUUGGGUUAUGUGGCAACUCUGAAGGAUAAUUUUGGAUUUAUUGAGACAGUCAAUCAUGAUAAGGAAAUCUUUUUCCAUUACACUGAGUUCUCUGGUGAUGUCGAUAGCCUGGAACUGGGGGACAUGGUCGAGUACAGCUUGUCCAAAGGCAAAGGCAACAAAAUCAGUGCUGAAAAAGUGAACAAAACACACUCAGUUGCAGGCCCCGUGAAUGGCAUCACUGAGGAAGCUGAUCCCACCAUCUACUCUGGUAAAGUCAUUCGCCCCCUGAGGAGUGUUGAUACAACACAGACAGAGUACCAAGGAAUGAUUGAGAUUGGGGAGGAGGGGGUUAUGAAAGGUGAGGUUUAUCUAUCUGGCAUAGUUGGGAUGGCCAACAAAGGGGAUUGCCUGCAGAAAGGGGAGAGUGUCAAAUUCCAGUUGUGUGUCCUGGGCCAAAAUGCACAGAAAACGGCCUAUAACAUCACACCCCUGUGUAGGGCCACAGUGGAGUGUGUGAAGGAUCAGUUUGGCUUCAUUAAUUAUGAAGUAGGAGAUAGCAAGAAGCUCUUUUUCCAUAUGAAAGAAGUUCAGGAUGGCACUGAGCUAAAAGCAGGAGAUGAGGUGGAGUUCUCAGUGAUUCUUAAUCAGCGCAGUGGCAAGGCCAUUGCAGCUCCUCGACCUGAUCGCCUGGUCAAUCGUUUGAAGAACACCACCUUAGAUGAUGCCAGUGCUCCUCGCCUCAUGGUUCUUUGUCAGCCAAGGGGACCAGAUAACUCAAUGGGAUUUGGUGCAGAAAGAAAGAUCCGUCAAGCUGGUGUCAUUGACUAACCACAUCCAAAAGCACAUCAUUAAUCCAGGAUGAUCAAGUUGGGGGGAUUCUGGUGAAGGAUUUUCAGUAUCUCGCUCUUCAUCCCUCCCAAAAUCUGGAAUACUUAUUCUAUUGAGCUAUUACACCA